Molecule: ribosomal RNA, 450 nt
Filed under: uncultured bacterium
Lineage: Bacteria
Description: partial 16S ribosomal RNA
Rfam family: Bacterial small subunit ribosomal RNA
Source: RNAcentral
CCUACGGGUGGCUGCAGUAAGGAAUAUUGGUCAAUGGAGGAAACUCUGAACCAGCCAUCCCGCGUGAAGGAUGAAGGGGCUCUGCCUUGUAAACUUCUUUUGUCUGGGGCGAAAAAGCUCGAUUUAUCGAGAACUGACGGUACCAGAAGAAUAAGCACCGGCUAACUCCGUGCCAGCAGCCGCGGUAAUACGGAGGGUGCCGGCGUCACUGGGAAUAACGGGGGCGAAGGGGGGUGUGGGUGUCAGUGUUGAAAGGCUGUGGCGUAACCAUGGAAUUGCCAUUGAUACUGCAGAGCUUGAAUGAGGUUGAGGUUGGCGGAAUGUGACAUGUAGCGGUGAAAUGCUUAGAUAUGUCAUGGAACACCGAUUGCGAAGGCAGCUGACUGGACCUAUAUUGACGCUGAGGCACGAAAGCGUGGGGAGCGAACAGGAUUAGAUACCCCGGUAGUC